Mangifera indica (mango) is the source of this 2957-nucleotide RNA transcript. It is a transcript of the gene named NAC domain-containing protein 82-like, with no coding region annotated. The record is from RefSeq and is a predicted model, not a curated record. Lineage: Eukaryota; Viridiplantae; Streptophyta; Magnoliopsida; Sapindales; Anacardiaceae. The transcript is spliced from 7 exons.
CCUCUAAGGGGCAAUAUAAAAUAAUCCAUCCAAAUGGCCAUAAUACCCUAGCGAAGUUAUUUUCUUUUCCACGUUUCUUCCGCUUUUUCACUCUCAUUCUUUCUCGUCACGCUUGCUUGCUUGCUUCUCAACACUAUUCUUUCCCAGCGCUCUCUUUCUCUCGGAUUUGCUUUGCACACCAGAUGUCUUUUGAUCCCUGCAAGAAAGAUACAUUUUUUCUACUUUCUGAUUUUGGAUUUUUGAGCCGGGAGAGGCUGUGGUGUUCAUGGAAUUUCUUAUUUCGACACUGGACUUGAAAAAUUUUCCUGUUGAAUUAGUUCCAUGUAGUUUGUUAUUUGGUCUUUGCAAAUAGGCUAUUUGAUAUAUAAUUUUUUUUGGGUAAUCAAUUUGUUACCUCAGAAUUAAGAGAUUAAGUACAAGAUUUACAUAUUUACUUCAUUCACAACUUGUGAGCAACUAUUGGAAGUUGUUGUAUAGUGGGACGCCCUUUUGAAUUUUCCUAUGGGGAAAAAAUCACUGCCUCCAGGAUUUCGAUUUCAUCCUACAGACAUUGAAUUGGUAAAGUAUUAUUUGAAGAGGAAAGUAAUGGGUAGGAAAUUCCCUGUUGAUGCUAUUGCAGAGGUUGACAUAUACAAGUACGCACCUUGGGAUCUACCUGCAAGAUCUAGUUUGAGAAGUGGGGACUUAAAAUGGUAUUUCUUUUGCCCACGGGAAAAGAAAUAUGCUAAUGGGGCUAGAAUGAAUCGUGCUACUGAGUUUGGGUAUUGGAAGACUACAGGAAAGGAUAGGCCUGUUCAGUACAAUAAUGAUACAGUGGGACUGAUAAAGACUUUGGUUUUCCACCGAGGUAAAGCUCCAAAAGGCGACCGAACAGAUUGGGUUAUGCAUGAGUAUAGAAUUGAGGAAAAUGAUCUGGCAGACAGAGGUGUUGAACAGCUAGCAUUGCUGGACUUAGGUUUUACAAUGAUGUCUUUUCUGCCCUUCAGAGGAAGCAAGACAUAUACCCUUUUUAAUCUUAUACACAUUUUGUGUGUGUUCUUUUUCUUUUAUCGCAACAUACAAAACCUCCGUUUGAGGGAUUUCUUGUUGCUGGACUCUAAUUGGUUCCUGUGUUAUCAGGAUGCUUAUGUGCUUUGUAUAGUUUUCCAGAAGGCCGGCCUUGGCCCAAGAAAUGGUGCUCAAUAUGGAGCACCAUUUAAAGAAGAAGAUUGGGAUGAUGAUGAGGAUGUCGAUUGUAUGGAAGCAGUAUCUGCAGGUGUCCAUUCAAUUCCAGUGCCUAACCUAAUCAAUCCUGUAGCUGCUAGCUCAUCAUGUCUUUCAGAUGCUAUCCCUCCAGUUAGCAUUAUGCCUUCACCUACUACUGAAAAUAAUGGUGUAGCUAGUGAGUUUGCUCUUGUUUUGCAUAAGGAUGAUAUUGACUCAAUGUUAGCUUACUUCACAGAAGAUAGUGCUUUGGUUUCAAAUGAAAACGGUCAAAACAAGAUUCUUGGUCACCAGCAUAAUGAUAGUGUUGAAGCUUUGCCUCAUUCAGAUGGCAUUGAUAUCUACAAUGACUUGGGAGACUUUGGUAGGCUUAGUGAAGGUGCAGGGGAUUUCUCCUUCAGUUUAAAUGAUUGCGAUUAUCCAAAUCAAAUCCUGGUUGAUAAUGCUCUAUUUCUCGAGUUGCAUGAUCUUGAUGCACCAUUGAAUGGGCCUGCUGAAAGUAGGGCAUCUGAAUUCAAUUACACUGAUGAGUUGUACUCUAACCAGCACUGUCAUAAUGAUGCUGAACAAUAUUCCCUCAAAUUUAAUCCUGGGUUUAGUCAGUUUCCUUCCACAUACUGUCACACUGCUGAGCAAUCAUCCGUUACAGUAAAUCCUGGGUUAAGUCAGCAUCCUUCCAAACACUGUUACAAUACUGAGCAAUCAUUGCUCACAGUAAAUCCUGGGUUGAUUCAGUACCCUUCCAUGCACUGUUACAAUGCCGAGCAAUCUUUGACCACAGUAAAUCCUUGUUUAAAUCAGUGCCCUUCCAUGCACUAUUACAAUGCCUGGCGAUCUUUGCCCACAAUCAAUCCUGGGUUAAUUCAGUGCCCUUCCAUUGCCUGUUACAAUGCCAAGCAAUCUUUGCCCACAGUAAAUCCUGGGUUAAUUCAGACUCCUAUGCACUGUUGCAAUGGCGAGCAAUCUUUGCCCACAAUAAAUCCUGGGUUAAUUCAGAGUCCUUCCAUGCACUGUUACAAUGCUGAGCAAUCAUCCCUCAUGAUAAAUCCUGGGUUAAGUCAGUGUCCUUGCAUGCUGACGGAGCAGUACAGAGCUGAGGACCUAUUGGCUGCAUUUCUGAAUAGCUAAUAUGAGGUGGAUCAUAUUAUACUUUGAUAAAUCUCUGAUUGUCAGAACAGAUAUCAUUGAUGGGUUCCAUUAAACAAGACACUGGGAGAACAAUGUAGCUUCCCUAAGCUUGUCUGUCUUGCUUCAGCUGCAAAGUACCUGGCUCCUCUUCAUGGAGCAAAAGAUCUAAAUGCUCUGUUGUGUGCUUAUGGUCCUCCUCCAUUGUUGUCAAGGCUGAGGUGACUUGGUGGAGUUGUGUGUGCACCAACGAUGCUUUGUCAAAUAAGUUGGAGGGUUUUCCAUAUGUGGAUACAACCUACUCAAGAGGUGGCCAGGAAUGGGAUCAUCUAUUUGCAGCAGCAUGUGAAGCCUUGACCCCUUCAAAUUUAUGCAUAUAUACACAAUAUUUUAGAUAGUAGAGUGUGUAAUUAAUUUGAAUAAGAAUGUAGAAUCAGUAUCAGUUUCAAAGAAUAGGAUGCGCAUCAUGAUCUGCAUUAAGGAUGAUUGUCAGCGGUAAUCAUUCUAUGUGGCAGACCACGUGUGUGGCAUCUUAAUAAAACAUACUAAACAUGAUAAAAAUAAGAAACAAAAAUGAUAUCCUAUUAUUUAAAGAAGUAAUAUUGAAGUCGUAAGUCAUUUUUAUUGAA